UAUUCUGUUAAUUCUUAUUUCUUUUCUGUGUUUAUGUUCUGUAAAGCUGCUUUGAGACAAUGUCUAUUGUAAAAAGCGCUAUACAAAUAAACUUGAAUUGAAUUGAAUUGAAUAUUUAACUGCAUAUGAUGUAUAGGCUACUGUGAUCUUAGUCUGACAUGUUACUCUUUUCAUGUAUUAUUUUCUUUGAUAAUAUUGAGAAUUUAAGGGGUUGUGUGUUCUUAUAGAUACUGAUGGACAGAUUGUAUUAUUGGACCCUCCAGAAAGAACACAGUCUGUGACAGUUGAUGAAGAUGACUAUGAAGAGACCACAUCUGCUGUGACAGAAGUGGACAAUGCUGGUAGAUCCACUGAGGAUCCUCAUCAAAAGGGCACGCCAUGCUCACCAACCUUCUGCAACGAAGUUACCCUGAAACAUAACCUGCUCCCGAGCAGGUUAUCUUCAGAGAGUCAGUUGCUAUGGUUACAUACAUACCCAGAAAGUUACCUCCGUUUUUGGAACCGAAAGUUGAGGUUAUCCACGAACUUACCCUUAAACAUACCCAGGUAUGUCACAUAACCUGCUUUCUGGAAUACCCCCCUGGAGUGGUUCAUGGAACGAUGAUUGGCGGCUGAAUCGUCCAAUCACAGGACCUGCAAGGCGGGACAGUGAAUAAAGGAGGAAAGAGAGAGAAAACAAUACGGGACGUAACAAUUGCUUCUGUGGACAGAUGUCUUUAAUACAGGUAAUGAGCCGAAAUUUGGAGCACUCCCUUUAUGAGAUUUAAGCACUACCCUUUAAGAGAGUACUCCUAAUCUCAGCUCAUUACCUGUAUACCUGGGAUCAGAAAUCUUGCUGAUUGAUAGGGGAUCAAAUACUUAUUUCACUCAUUAAAAUCAUUAUAACUUUUUUGAAAUGCAUUUAUUUGGAUUUUUUGUUGUUAUUCUGUCUCUCACAGUUAAAAUAAAC
Long non-coding RNA from Tachysurus fulvidraco (yellow catfish), 949 nucleotides. RefSeq lists it as uncharacterized. Lineage: Eukaryota; Metazoa; Chordata; Actinopteri; Siluriformes; Bagridae. The transcript is spliced from 3 exons. The record is from RefSeq and is a predicted model, not a curated record.